AGCCAGUUUCUUAUACUAGCACACCAUCAAUAGUCUGAUCUAAGGCCUUUAGGAGGAAUUAGGCGACUAGGGAUCCACGAAAAUCCUACAUUUAAAAAUAAUAAAAACUUAAAAAUAAUCAGCCUCUCUCUCACGCUUCCAGGCAUGCUGACGCGGGCGUAGUGGUCCAAACGGAGGCUCCUGCAUCGCCAUGAAAAAAAAAUAUGGUGACCCGAG
Molecule: long non-coding RNA, 216 nt
Filed under: Elaeis guineensis (African oil palm)
Lineage: Eukaryota; Viridiplantae; Streptophyta; Magnoliopsida; Arecales; Arecaceae
Description: long non-coding RNA (EGUI_LNC050275)
Source: RNAcentral